RNAcentral lists this ribosomal RNA (227 nucleotides) under uncultured bacterium. Its description in RNAcentral is "partial 16S ribosomal RNA". It matches the Rfam family "Bacterial small subunit ribosomal RNA", at positions 90 to 334 of the family's 1533-position model. The record is from RNAcentral.
AGACCACGGCGAACGGCUGAGUAACACAUGGGUACCUGCCUUGAACUCAGGGAUAUCCCGCCGAAAGGCGGAGUAAUACCGGAUGCCCUCGCAAGAGGAAAGAUUUAUCGGUUCAAGAGGGGCCUGUGGCCUAUCAGUUAGUUGGUGAGGUAACGGCUCACCAAGACGAUGACGGGUAACUGGUCUGAGAGGACGGCCAGUCAGAAUGGAACUGAGACACGGCCCAG